Molecule: non-coding RNA, 72 nt
Organism: Ornithorhynchus anatinus (platypus)
Lineage: Eukaryota; Metazoa; Chordata; Mammalia; Monotremata; Ornithorhynchidae
Source: Rfam
AGCAGUGUGGCUCAGUGGAAAGAGCACGGGCUUUGGAGUCAGAGGUCAUGAGUUUGAAUCCCAGCUCUGCCA